UACGUAGGGUGCAAGCGUUGUCCGGAAUUAUUGGGCGUAAAAGAGCUCGUAGGCGGUUCGUCGCGUCUGCUGUGAAAACUCGGGGCUUAACUCCGGGCCUGCAGUGGGUACGGGCAGACUAGAGUGCGGUAGGGGAGACUGGAAUUCCUGGUGUAGCGGUGAAAUGCGUAGAUAUCAUUUGGAACGCCAAUGGUGAAAACAGGUAGCUGGGGCUGUGCUGACACUGAGACACGGAAAGCCAGGGGAGGCAAAACGGG
RNAcentral lists this ribosomal RNA (257 nucleotides) under uncultured bacterium. RNAcentral's name for it is "partial 16S ribosomal RNA". It matches the Rfam family "Bacterial small subunit ribosomal RNA", at positions 524 to 776 of the family's 1533-position model. The record is from RNAcentral.